AGCGCCUCCUACCGCAAAAUACAGCUUCUAGUCCGCGGCCGCCCGGCCGCCUAAACCAAGGAGCCCCUCAGGUAUGCCGAAUGUCCUUUCUACAACCAUUCAUAUCUCACAAUGCAAAAAACCCGAUCGAGCGGGCCACCAAGUUAAUGUUGUGCAUCUAGCGAUAUUUUGGACUGAAAUAAUACCACAUCUAGCUCAUACUCCAAUCGACCUACCACCAUCUUUCGGAGAUUUAGUUGAUUGGCUAGCCGCCCGGGCUGUGCUGCCACUACGAGACCGAAAAUGGAAAACUUGAAUUUCCAACAGAGUACACCCAGCCUAUCAUAAAAGACCUGCUAGCUGAUACGAUCCAUAAGAGCACGUCUUGCCUCCAUCAUUCCACUCCUUAAUUCUUAAUGUAGUUAGCUAGCCAAUUUCUUUCUUACAUAUUUUGGGUUAGAUAUCAUUGCGAUUUGUGAUUUAUCACCUCUGAGUUCAAAAUGAUGAAGUUUCGCAGUGGGGUCAGAAGGAUGGCUUGGCUCCGCUCCCUGCUCCCCAGCCGCCUAGCCUAGCCGAGCCCACCGUCGCCGACGCCCCCCGCCGGUGGCCCUCCCGCCUCC
RNAcentral lists this long non-coding RNA (599 nucleotides) under Hordeum vulgare. Its description in RNAcentral is "long non-coding RNA (HVUL_LNC009583)". The record is from RNAcentral. Lineage: Eukaryota; Viridiplantae; Streptophyta; Magnoliopsida; Poales; Poaceae.